RNAcentral lists this transfer RNA (74 nucleotides) under Phytophthora infestans T30-4. It matches the Rfam family "tRNA". From Rfam's summary of the family: Transfer RNA (tRNA) molecules are approximately 80 nucleotides in length. Their secondary structure includes four short double-helical elements and three loops (D, anti-codon, and T loops). The record is from Rfam by way of RNAcentral. Lineage: Eukaryota; Oomycota; Peronosporomycetes; Peronosporales; Peronosporaceae.
GUCAGUGUCGUCUAGUGGUUAGGACGCGAGCUUCACACGCUCGAAGAUCGAGGGUUCGAUCCCCUCCUCUGAUA